RNAcentral lists this ribosomal RNA (253 nucleotides) under uncultured bacterium. RNAcentral describes it as "partial 16S ribosomal RNA". It matches the Rfam family "Bacterial small subunit ribosomal RNA", at positions 524 to 776 of the family's 1533-position model. The record is from RNAcentral.
UACGUAGGGUGCGAGCGUUAAUUGGAAUUACUGGGCGUAAAGCGUGCGCAGGCGGUUUUGUAAGCCAGAUGUGAAAGCCCCGGGCUUAACCUGGGAAUGGCAUUUGGGACUGCAAGGCUUGAGUGCGGCAGAGGAGACUGGAAUUCCUGGUGUAGCAGUGAAAUGCGUAGAUAUCUGGAGGAACACCGGUGGCGAAGGCGGCGUCCUGGACCAACACUGACACUGAGGAGCGAAAGCCAGGGGAGCAAACGGG